AUCUACGGCCAUGCCACCCUGAACAAGCCCGAUCUCGUCUGAUCUCAGAAGCUAAGCAGGGUCGGGCCUGGGUAGUAUUUGGAUGAGAGACCACCUGGGAAAACCAGGUGCUAAUAAAAU
Molecule: ribosomal RNA, 120 nt
Filed under: Pteropus alecto (black flying fox)
Lineage: Eukaryota; Metazoa; Chordata; Mammalia; Chiroptera; Pteropodidae
Source: RNAcentral